AAAACGCUGGCGGCACGCUUAACACAUGCAAGUCGAACGGCAGCAUGAAUCAACUUCGGUUGAUUUGAUGGCGAGUGGCGAACGGGUGAGUAACGCGUAGGAAUAUGCCUUAAAGAGGGGGAUAACUCGGGGAAACUCGAGCUAAUACCGCGUAAGCUCUACGGAGUAAAGCAUGGGACCUUCGGGCCAUGCGCUUUAAGAAUAGCCUGCGUCCGAUUAGCUAGUUGGUGGGGUAAAGGCCUACCAAGGCGAUGAUCGGUAGCUGGUCUGAGAGGAUGGACAGCCACACUGGGACUGAGACACGGCCCAGACUCCUACGGGAGGCAGCAGUGGGGAAUAUUGGACAAUGGGGGCAACCCUGAUCCAGCGAUGCCGCGUGUGUGAAGAAGGCCCGAGGGUUGUAAAGCACUUUUAGUGGGGAGGAAAGGGUACAGGUUAAGAGCUAGUAUCUGUGACGUUACCCACCAUAAACAGCACCGGCUAACUCCGUGCCAGCAGCCGCGGUAAUACGGGGGGUGCAAGCGUUAAUCGGAGUUAUUGGGCGUAAAGGGUGCGUAGGUUGUUCGUUAAGUUAUGUGGGAAAUACCUGGGCUUAACCUGGGAAUGUCGGAUAAUACUGAUGAACUUGAGUAUAGUAGAGGGUAGUGGAAUUUCCGGUGUAGCGGUGAAAUGCGUAGAGAUCCGAAGGAACACCACGUGGCGAAGGCGGCUACCUGGACUAAUACUGACCCUGAGGCCCGAAACCGUGGGGAGCAAACCGGAUAAAAUACCCGUGUUAU
This 779-nucleotide ribosomal RNA is filed under the name uncultured bacterium. RNAcentral's name for it is "bacterial SSU rRNA". It matches the Rfam family "Bacterial small subunit ribosomal RNA", at positions 30 to 794 of the family's 1533-position model. The record is from RNAcentral.